This 132-nucleotide small RNA is filed under the name Escherichia coli. RNAcentral's name for it is "RtT sRNA". It matches the Rfam family "RtT RNA". Rfam says of the family: This family represents a bacterial cis-regulatory element known as RtT RNA. The exact function of RtT is unknown although it is thought that it may be involved in changing the cellular response in relation to amino acid starvation. Lineage: Bacteria; Pseudomonadati; Pseudomonadota; Gammaproteobacteria; Enterobacterales; Enterobacteriaceae. The record is from RNAcentral.
AUUCUGCCCAUGCGGGGAAGGAUGAGAAGCUUCGACUAAGGUUCGGCUCGAGCGUCAGCGAGAGAGCGUUGCCGCAGGCAACGACCCGAAGGGCGAAGCGCGCAGCGCUGAGUAGUCCUUCCCCCACCACCA